UAACACGUGGGUGACCUGCCCUGUACUUCGGGAUAAGCCUGGGAAACUGGGUCUAAUACCGGAUAUGACCUUCUCCUGCAUGGGGGUUGGUGGAAAGUUUUUGCGGUACAGGAUGGGCCCGCGGCCUAUCAGCUUGUUGGUGGGGUAAUGGCCUACCAAGGCGACGACGGGUAGCCGGCCUGAGAGGGCGACCGGCCACACUGGGACUGAGACACGGCCCAGACUCCUACGGGAGGCAGCAGUGGGGAAUAUUGCACAAUGGGCGAAAGCCUGAUGCAGCGACGCCGCGUGAGGGAUGACGGCCUUCGGGUUGUAAACCUCUUUCAGUAGGGACGAAGCGCAAGUGACGGUACCUACAGAAGAAGCACCGGCCAACUACGUGCCAGCAGCCGCGGUAAUACGUAGGGUGCGAGCGUUGUCCGGAUUUACUGGGCGUAAAGAGCUCGUAGGCGGUUUGUCACGUCGUCUGUGAAAACCCGAGGCUUAACCUCGGGCCUGCAGGCGAUACGGGCAGACUUGAGUACUGUAGGGGAGACUGGAAUUCCUGGUGUAGCGGUGGAAUGCGCAGAUAUCAGGAGGAACACCGGUGGCGAAGGCGGGUCUCUGGGCAGUAACUGACGCUGAGGAGCGAAAGCGUGGGUAGCGAACAGGAUUAGAUACCCUGGUAGUCCACGCCGUAAACGGUGGGUACUAGGUGUGGGUUUCCUUCCACGG
Molecule: ribosomal RNA, 714 nt
Filed under: Tsukamurella sp. YIM 61391
Lineage: Bacteria; Bacillati; Actinomycetota; Actinomycetes; Mycobacteriales; Tsukamurellaceae
Description: bacterial SSU rRNA
Rfam family: Bacterial small subunit ribosomal RNA
Source: RNAcentral